This 497-nucleotide ribosomal RNA is filed under the name uncultured bacterium. RNAcentral's name for it is "partial 16S ribosomal RNA". It matches the Rfam family "Bacterial small subunit ribosomal RNA", at positions 28 to 507 of the family's 1533-position model. The record is from RNAcentral.
GAUGAACGCUGGCGGCGUGCCUAAUACAUGCAAGUCGAGCGAACAGACGAGGAGCUUGCUCCUCUGACGUUAGCGGCGGACGGGUGAGUAACACGUGGAUAACCUACCUAUAAGACUGGGAUAACUUCGGGAAACCGGAGCUAAUACCGGAUAAUAUAUUGAACCGCAUGGUUCAAUAGUGAAAGACGGUUUUGCUGUCACUUAUAGAUGGAUCCGCGCCGCAUUAGCUAGUUGGUAAGGUAACGGCUUACCAAGGCAACGAUGCGUAGCCGACCUGAGAGGGUGAACGACCAGCCGGGAUGUGAGAAUCAGCCCCCACACCUGCAGGGAGACACGGCAGGGACUCUUACGCGAUGGGGGAGAGGGUGACGGAGCAAAACGGCGGGAAUGAUGAAGCUCUUCGGCUCCGAGAGCGAUGAUAUUAGUGGAGAACAAAUGUUUAAGUAACUAUGAACAUAUUGACGGUACCUAAACAGAAAGCCACGGCUAACUACGUG